Molecule: non-coding RNA, 76 nt
Organism: Trichonephila clavipes
Lineage: Eukaryota; Metazoa; Arthropoda; Arachnida; Araneae; Nephilidae
Source: the annotation of a GenBank genome assembly
GCCGCUCAGUCAGUAUGGUGGAUAUGACCAUUGGCUUGUAACCAAGUGAGUUCGGGUUCGAAUCCCGAGUAAGGCA